UCCAGACUCCUACGGGAGGCAGCAGUGAGGAAUAUUGGUCAAUGGCCGAGAGGCUGAACCAGCCAAGUCGCGUGAGGGAAGAAUGUCCUAAGGAUUGUAAACCUCUUUUGUCGGGGAGCAAAAAGGCUCUGCGGAGUCGUAUUGAGAGUACCCGAAGAAAAAGCAUCGGCUAACUCCGUGCCAGCAGCCGCGGUAAUACGGAGGAUGCGAGCGUUAUCCGGAUUUAUUGGGUUUAAAGGGUGCGUAGGCGGUUUUUUAAGUUAGUGGUUAAACGUCGGGGCUUCACCUUGAUUUGCCAUUAAUACUGUAAGACUCGAGUUCAGACGAGGUAGGCGGAAUAAGUUAAGUAGCGGUGAAAUGCUUAGAUAUAACUUAGAACUCCGAUAGCGAAGGCAGCUUACCAGACUGCGACUGACGCUGAAGCACGAGAGCGUGGGUAGCGAACAGGAUUAGAUACCCCAGUA
This 464-nucleotide ribosomal RNA is filed under the name uncultured bacterium. RNAcentral's name for it is "bacterial SSU rRNA". It matches the Rfam family "Bacterial small subunit ribosomal RNA", at positions 330 to 792 of the family's 1533-position model. The record is from RNAcentral.